CCUGCAGGGGUCGCUGGGGUGCGGGAUCUGUAUAGACAGACACUUCCUGUUUAUGUUUUAUGGCGGGUCGUAAACAUAGUAUAAAAAGGGGGCGACGGCUGCUGUAGGGUCCCCGCAUUCAUCAAGUUGGCUGCAGUAUUCUUUUCAUUCGACAUGGACUGCUCAUCAGAAGAAACCCAUAGAUCAGAUAGUCCUUAUUGUUUGUAUAGGGGCCCUCGUACCCCGUCGCCGCUGUCUUCCCCCGCCAUGGACGACUCUGUGUCGAGCAAUGAGGACAUUGAAAACCAGAUGCCUGAUGGCUUGAGAGACCGGAGUGCCGGGGAUUCAUUCACCCACGUUGGCGAAUACGGCUUGGAGUAUGUAAUAUCAUGGGUCGAUGGCUGUGUUAUUUUGAAAGUUAAAGAUUGUGCUACAGAGUGGCGGAUGAACGUUCACGAGUGGAAUUUUUUCUUGGAGAAUUUAUGCCCCAUGCUAGACGGCGACGAGGGUACAUGGCAUGGGGGACCCCAUGAAUACCGUUGGACCUUUCAGUAUGAUCCGAGGAUUCAACAUCGUUUGGCAUGCGCCUUUCAGUAUGAAUCGAGGAUUCAUCGCAUGGAUGCAAACUAUCAUACGAAGAGACCACAGGAUUUCAUUUUUUUCAGACGCGGUGUUGAUACAGACGAGCUACCACAGUGCUAUGAUAUGCAUUGCAUCGGUAGCUCUCCUCUACGCGCCAGUGUUUUAGAAGCUGCUGAUUAUUUUGAUAAUGUCUUUUUCAUGCAGUGGGCUGAUCUGUCUGCACUACGUGGAAUUUUUGCAGAGAUUGAUUCUUUGGCUAAGACGAAUGAAGAACCAUGGAGCACAACUGAUGAUGAAUGCCGAAUGUGCCUGUUUGAGUCGUCUGGGUUUGAUGAUGGGGUACAUGGUGUGUUUGAGUAUGUUUAGGGUUAUGCUAGCAUUAGAAAAUGCCCGCAAUGUAUAAGAAGGUGGAGGGUACAUACUAGUAGUAUUAAGGGUGUU
Gadus morhua (Atlantic cod) is the source of this 1002-nucleotide long non-coding RNA. The record is from Ensembl. NCBI's taxonomy places the organism in Eukaryota, Metazoa, Chordata, Actinopteri, Gadiformes, Gadidae.